This 253-nucleotide ribosomal RNA is filed under the name uncultured bacterium. RNAcentral describes it as "partial 16S ribosomal RNA". It matches the Rfam family "Bacterial small subunit ribosomal RNA", at positions 524 to 776 of the family's 1533-position model. The record is from RNAcentral.
UACGUAGGGUGCAAGCGUUGUCCGGAAUUAUUGGGCGUAAAGAGCUCGUAGGCGGUCUGUCACGUCUGCUGUGAAAACUCGGGGCUUAACCCCGGGCCUGCAGUGGGUACGGGCAGACUAGAGUGCGGUAGGGGAGACUGGAAUUCCUGGUGUAGCGGUGAAAUGCGCAGAUAUCAGGAGGAACACCAGUGGCGAAGGCGCCGCUCUGGGCCGUGACUGACGCUGAAGAGCGAAAGCGUGGGUAGCAAACAGG